RNAcentral lists this unclassified non-coding RNA (377 nucleotides) under Melitaea cinxia (Glanville fritillary). Its description in RNAcentral is "misc RNA ENSMCXG00005019027.1". Lineage: Eukaryota; Metazoa; Arthropoda; Insecta; Lepidoptera; Nymphalidae. The record is from RNAcentral.
UGAAGUUUUAGUACACACUUAUCAAAAUUGGAAACGAGACUGCUUUUCGCUAUUGCUAGUAUUAAAUGUUCUUGUAAAGUAUUAAAGGUAUUGCCAAACUCAUAUACAGUUGCAAAGGGCACCCUUUCAGUAUAGUUAACAGUACUCUGUGGGCCAGGCCCCUUUCCAACUAAUCUUGUAUAAUAUAAAUUACUGAUAGAUUUCCUGGUUGGUAAAGGAAUUGAAUUGUGAAAUUGUGAAAACUACUUAUGUGAUGCUUAUGUCCAUCCCAAUUUCCAAGACACAAUUUAUAGAAAAUUUAGUAUGAUAUUUUUUAGCUUUCAUCUGUACUUUAUCUUCUUCAUCAUCAACUUGUCUUCUCCCAGAUAAAAUUUUAU